This 343-nucleotide long non-coding RNA is filed under the name Elaeis guineensis (African oil palm). RNAcentral's name for it is "long non-coding RNA (EGUI_LNC011193)". The record is from RNAcentral. Lineage: Eukaryota; Viridiplantae; Streptophyta; Magnoliopsida; Arecales; Arecaceae.
GGUCAAUGGCAGAAGGAUGUCCUUCAGUCGACGAAGAGUAGGCUUCAGUCGGCAAAGGAGCUUCGGUCGGCCCCUGCUCCGGGACAGCUUCCUCCGCUAGGAUGACACCUCCCGACGGCUGGUCGGCUUCUUCUUCGGCUCCUUCUUCUUCGGCUCCUUCCUCGGCGAACGGUGGGACGACGCGGCUGACGUCCACCUCCGGGUACAAGGCAUGGACGGCGUCCCGACCAUCCUCGAACCCGACCCGGUAUGAGGCGAAGCCCGAUUCGAGCAUCUCCUCCCGGUAUCGGUCGGAGGACCGGAAGUCCUCCACUGCCCGUUCGGCCGACUCUCUCGCCGACAU